Hydra vulgaris (swiftwater hydra) is the source of this 606-nucleotide RNA transcript. RefSeq lists it as uncharacterized. The record is from RefSeq and is a predicted model, not a curated record. Lineage: Eukaryota; Metazoa; Cnidaria; Hydrozoa; Anthoathecata; Hydridae.
AAACUAAGCAAGUUGCCUAAUUUUGUCGUUGAACGUCACAUAUACUUUUGUUAUUAAGUACAUAAUGUGCCAUCAACUGUGCAGAAUAAUAUCACAAGAUUUUCAAAAUAUUUCCAGUACAAAAUCAAAAUUUUGUUCUUUCUCAAAUAAUUGACAAAAUGAGGUCAGCGUUUGCUGUUUUGUUUGCGUUAAUGCAUUAAUUGCGUAAACAUACUCCAAAAAUUAUCAAGAUGUUAAAGAAGAAAUAAAAAAUGAAGUUGAAAACGAAAUUUUAAGAUAAAGACAGAUGACGAGUUAGAUGAUAAUGCUUAGGAAGCAGUUAACGAUGCGAGGCCGUUGCGACGAUUUUUUCGCAAGUUUCGCGAUAGGAAGAUUCUUUCGUACAUGCCUUAUUAUAUUUAUACAUGCUCUUAUAAAUAUUUGGAAAGCUGGAAAAAAAUAAUAAAGUUGCUCUAUUUCGAAAACUUUAAAACAAAACAUUAUCUAGAUGAUAUAAUUAAAAUAUUUUAUUUGAAAAUUUUUUUGUGUAAACAAAAGUUGAGAAAUUUUUAAUGUACCAAAAGUUAAAAACCUUACUGACGUUAUUAAAUGUGUAGAGUGUCAGUU